GCCAGACGAGAUAAGUGAAGUCAUGAGCAGCAGCAGACUACCCAAAAGUCAUGUAAAUAUUUACAGCACCAGUUGAGUUGUUAUAUUUUGUAACUGACAAAAAAAAAAAAAUUAAAUUCAUUCUGCUACAUUUCCCGAAGGCGAAGGUUUCAGAACCAGACUGCAUGUAGCAACUGUGUGAUGCACUCUUGGUGCUGCAUCGUGGAGAGAGAGAGGCUGGCAGAGACCGGCGUGUCCAUUUCUAAUGCGCCCAGCACGGAUGAGUUGGGGACUAUGUGGUGCCCAGAAGAGGAGGUUGGUGCUGGGGGUCAUUGUCCUGUUGCUUGUGGACGUAAUCUGGGUCGCUUCAUCCGAACUCACUGUAUAUGUGUUUGUGCAGCAGCAAUACAGCAAGCCCUUUUUCAGCACGUUUGUGAAGACCUCCAUGUUCAUACUGUACCUGCUGGGCUUCCUGUUCUGGAAACCAUGGAGACAGCAAUGUGCAACCCAACAGCAAAGUGGCAUAUCCAUUUCUGAUGCUGACUCACUUGUGACUGCUGCUGGCACUGAAAACAGCUUUAAUAAUUCCCUAAGUGAGCCUCUGUAUGUGCCAGUGAAGUUUCAGGAUGUUGCUGAUAUCAGUGUCAGUCGAGAGGCUAAGACUCCUGUGAGGAAGCAGCGUGUGAGGUUCAGUAAUGUGAUGGAGGUACGUGAACUUCCUCACUCUCAGGCUUUAGAAGCCAAACUGUCUCGCAUGUCUCAUGCAGCCACCUCACUCAGGAUUAUGGGAAAACUUGGCAUCAGUGCUGUGGCCAAAAUCAGCUUCUUCUUCUGUUUUGUGUGGUUCCUAGCUAAUCUGGCCUAUCAGGAGGCUCUGACAGACACGCAGGUGGCCAUCGUAAACAUUUUGUCCUCCACCUCAGGCCUCUUCACUUUGAUCUUGGCCUCCAUAUUUCCCAGCAAUAGCAAUGAUCGUUUCACACUUUCCAAACUGCUUGCUGUUAUUCUCAGCAUGGUGGGAGUGGCUGUGGUCAGUUUCUCAGGGAUGGAUAGUUCUGGUGGAAAAGGCACUAUUGGCUAUCUCUGGUCACUGCUGAGUGCGCUCCUAUACGCAGUCUACAUCGUUAUGCUAAAGAGAAAUGUUGAUCGAGAGGAAAAGCUUGAUAUCCCAAUGUUCUUCGGCUUUGUGGGCUUGUUUAGCCUGCUGCUGUUAUGGCCUGGCUUCGUGCUGCUCCAUUACUCUGGGUUGGAGCUGUUCGAGAUGCCUAAUCAGAUGGUAAUCAUCUACAUCCUCAUCAACGGCCUGAUAGGGACUGUGCUCUCUGAGUUCCUCUGGUUAUGGGGCUGUUUUCUCACUUCAUCUCUCAUUGGGACACUGGCUCUGAGCUUAACAAUUCCACUGUCCAUCGUGACUGAUAUAUGCUUGCAGAAGACGAGUUUCUCUUGGUUAUUCUUUGCUGGAGCAGUUCCAGUUUUUCUCUCCUUCUUCCUGACUGCACUCCUGAGCCACUACAAUAACUGGGACCCGGCGAUGGUGGCACUGCGGAGAGUUUUCUCCUUUAUCUGCCGCAAACACAGGAUUCACAGAUUAGCAGAGGACAGUGAGCAGUGUGAGAGUCUCAUCCCUUUACAGAGCUCUGCCCUCGAUAACAGGGGUUUUUGCUCUUGAUUAACAUUUUAAGAGAGAAAAAAUAUGAGGAUCAUGCCUCAGCUUGAAUCAUCACUCACCUACUGUACACACAGGAACCGAGAAGCAGAAAAUGACAAUCUGAAACCUGCCAUUGUGCCUCGUGUCACUUCCUCCUCUUCCCCACAUAUAUUGAAGACCCUGUGAUUGACCAUUCUUAAUCCUCAUUGUGUUGGCUGUGAUAUCUCAGGGCCAGAAAAACCACACCCAGGCAAGCAGCUUUCAUCGGCCGUGAUGGAUGAUCCAGACAUACUGACUGACUUUCCAAUCACAGUAUCACAAACUGAGCCCUUUCCAAGCAAAAUGAGAUUGUGAUAAACAGAGUCUGAGAUGUUGUAUUAACACAUGUUGUGUAUGUGUGUGUGUGUGUGUGUGUGUGUUCAUCAGUAUAUCACAAUAUGUCUGAUUUGUCUUAUUAAAUUAAUACAGGCUAUACACAGUUCAUAAUUAUUGUUAAGCAGAUUGAUAUACAUGCAGAUUUGCUGGUUUCAAAUCACCAUUUCUCCUAUGAAGUACAAAUAGCCUAUUAUCUUUUUAAUCUUUGUACUAUAGAUAGUGUCUAGAUGUCAAGGUCCUAGUAAAACCUGCAUGUUAUAUUUCACCAUUGAAACGAGACACUAAAACCAUGUAACAUGGUAAUUAAUAUUUUGCGUAUAUGACUUACCAUGUAAUUUAAUAGAUUGUGUGUAUUUGGUAUGAAUUACCAAAUACAAUCUAAAUCCAAGUAAACACUAUUGAGCACGU
Molecule: RNA transcript, 2410 nt
Organism: Ictalurus punctatus (channel catfish)
Lineage: Eukaryota; Metazoa; Chordata; Actinopteri; Siluriformes; Ictaluridae
Gene name: solute carrier family 35 member F5
Exons: 17
Source: RefSeq, a predicted model, not a curated record